AAUACUCUUUUUAUAGGGGGAGAAAAAAAAGAUGAUUCAUAGUAGACACAGCUGGGUCUCAUAAUAAUCACGAUGAUGAGCGACGAUACAUCCUACAAUAUUAUGAAUUAUCUGUUUUCGACAGUGUGUGUGUCCGACUAUGGCGGCGGCGCCUUGUAGGCGAGGAAUUGGGGUUUUCUUCCGGAGAGGGAGCAGGAGAAACGGCCACAACAUAUAAAGAAAGCAGCCGGGGCGCAAAUUCCCCCCUCUUGCCUCGGGGAGGUGGCGACAAGAAGAUAACACCACAGGAAAUUUUAUUUUGUAGUGAGAGUAAUGAGGGGAAUACCCACCCCUUUCAGAGUAACACUUGGAGAGCAAGUGUGGCGCCAGCAGCGGCGGUAAUACCAGCUCUAAUAUAGUAUAUAAAAGUUGUUGCAGAUAAAAAGCUCGUAGUAGGAUAUCUGCUGGAAACAAUCACUCCCCCCUUUUAGGGAGGGGGUGUACAUGAAGUAUUGUGGCAUGAUUUUCUCCCCACUAAUAUUAUUAUUAUAUUAUGUUUAUUCCUAUUAUAGUAAUAAUUUUUUUUGGGAAAACCACAGUUACUUUGAGAAAAUUAGAGUGUUUGAAGCAGGCUUGUUGCCUUGAAUACUGCAGCAUGGAAUAACAAUAUAGGAUUUCGGUUCUAUUUUGUUGGUUUCUAGGACUGAAAUAAUGAUUAAUAGGGACAGUUGGGGGUGGUUGUAUUAGUCUUCUGAGUUGAUGG
This 742-nucleotide ribosomal RNA is filed under the name Sarcocystis fusiformis. RNAcentral describes it as "partial 18S ribosomal RNA". It matches the Rfam family "Eukaryotic small subunit ribosomal RNA", at positions 174 to 914 of the family's 1831-position model. The record is from RNAcentral. Lineage: Eukaryota; Apicomplexa; Conoidasida; Eucoccidiorida; Sarcocystidae.